UCUAAUCGCUGGACUGCGGAAGAUACUGUUGGGCUAGGGGGCGGGAGAAGCCGACGGUAUUCUCGGGGUAGGGGUGAAAUCCUAUAAUCCCGGGAGGACCACCAGUGGCGAAGGCGGUCGGCUAGCACGCGCCCGACGGUGAGGAACGAAAGCUGGGGGAGCGAACCGGAUUAGAUACCCGGGUAGUCCCAGCCGUAAACGAUGCGGGCUAGGUGUUGAAGUGGCUACGAGCCACUUCAGUGCCGCAAGGAAACCAUUAAGCCCGUCGCCUGGGGAGUACGGCUGCAAGGCUGAAACUUAAAGGAAUUGGCGGGGGAGCACCACAAGGGGUGAAGCUUGCGGUUCAAUUGGAGUCAACGCCGGGAACCUUACCGGGAGCGACAGCAGGAUGAAUGCCAGAUUGAAGGUCUUGCUGGACGAGCUGAGAGGAGGUGCAUGGCCGUCGCCAGUUCGUGCCGUGAGGUGUCCUGUUAAGUCAGGUAACGAUCGAGACCCACGCCCCUCGUUGCCAACAGGUCCCGUUGGGAUGCUGGGCACACUAGGGGUACUGCCGCCGAUAAGGUGGAGGAAGGAGUGGACUACGGCAGGUCAGUAUGCCCCGAAUCUCCCGGGCCACACGCGAGCUGCAAUGGCUGGGACAAUGGGUUCCGACCUCGAAAGGGGGAGGUAAUCCCUAAACCCUGCCUCAGUUGGGAUCGAGGGCUGUAACUCGCCCUCGUGAACAUGGA
RNAcentral lists this ribosomal RNA (728 nucleotides) under uncultured crenarchaeote. Its description in RNAcentral is "bacterial SSU rRNA". It matches the Rfam family "Archaeal small subunit ribosomal RNA", at positions 558 to 1286 of the family's 1478-position model. The record is from RNAcentral. Lineage: Archaea; Thermoproteati; Thermoproteota.